AGAGUUUGAUCAUGGCUCAGAACGAACGCUGGCGGCAUGCCUAACACAUGCAAGUCGAACGCUCUUGGUUUCGGCCAAGGGAGUGGCGCACGGGUGAGUAACGCGUGGGAACCUGCCCUGGAGUGGGGGAUAACCGAGGGAAACCUCGGCUAAUACCGCAUACGUCCUGAGGGAGAAAGAUUUAUCGCUCUAGGAGGGGCCCGCGUCGGAUUAGCUUGUUGGUGGGGUAACGGCCUACCAAGGCGAUGAUCCGUAGCUGGUCUGAGAGGAUGAUCAGCCACACUGGGACUGAGACACGGCCCAGACUCCUACGGGAGGCAGCAGUGGGGAAUAUUGGACAAUGGGCGCAAGCCUGAUCCAGCAAUGCCGCGUGAGUGAUGAAGGCCUUAGGGUUGUAAAGCUCUUUCGGCGGGGACGAUGAUGACGGUACCCGCAGAAGAAGCCCCGGCUAACUUCGUGCCAGCCGCCGCGGUAAUACA
Molecule: ribosomal RNA, 479 nt
Filed under: uncultured Oleomonas sp.
Lineage: Bacteria; Pseudomonadati; Pseudomonadota; Alphaproteobacteria; Acetobacterales; Acetobacteraceae
Description: bacterial SSU rRNA
Rfam family: Bacterial small subunit ribosomal RNA
Source: RNAcentral